UGCAGUCGAGCGAAUGAGAAGAAGCUUGCUUCUUCUGAUUUAGCGGCGGACGGGUGAGUAACACGUGGGCAACCUGCCCUGUAGAUUGGGAUAACUCCGGGAAACCGGGGCUAAUACCGAAUAAUCCAUUCCCUCACAUGUGGGAAUGUUAAAAGACGGUCUCGGCUGUCACUACAGGAUGGGCCCGCGGCGCAUUAGCUAGUUGGGGAGGUAACGGCUCACCAAGGCGACGAUGCGUAGCCGACCUGAGAGGGUGAUCGGCCACACUGGGACUGAGACACGGCCCAAACUCCUACGGGAGGCAGCAGUAGGGAAUCUUCCACAAUGGACGAAAGUCUGAUGGAGCAACGCCGCGUGAGUGAAGAAGGUUUUCGGAUCGUAAAACUCUGUUGUGAGGGAAGAACAAGUACGAGAGUAACUGCUCGUACCUUGACGGUACCUCAUUAGAAAGCCACGGCUAACUACGUGCCAGCAGCCGCGGUAAUACGUAGGUGGCAAGCGUUGUCCGGAAUUAUUGGGCGUAAAGCGCGCGCAGGCGGUCCUUUAAGUCUGAUGUGAAAGCCCACGGCUCAACCGUGGAAGGUCAUUGGAAACUGGGGGACUUGAGUGCAGAAGAGGAAAGUGGAAUUCCAAGUGUAGCGGUGAAAUGC
This 650-nucleotide ribosomal RNA is filed under the name uncultured bacterium. Its description in RNAcentral is "bacterial SSU rRNA". It matches the Rfam family "Bacterial small subunit ribosomal RNA", at positions 56 to 689 of the family's 1533-position model. The record is from RNAcentral.